AUUGAACGCUGGCGGCAGGCCUAACACAUGCAAGUCGAGCGGCAGCGGGAAAGUAGCUUGCUACUUUUGCCGGCGAGCGGCGGACGGGUGAGUAAUGCCUGGGGAUCUGCCCAGUCGAGGGGGAUAACAGUUGGAAACGACUGCUAAUACCGCAUACGCCCUACGGGGGAAAGGAGGGGACCUUCGGGCCUUUCGCGAUUGGAUGAACCCAGGUGGGAUUAGCUAGUUGGUGGGGUAAUGGCUCACCAAGGCGACGAUCCCUAGCUGGUCUGGGAGGAUGAUCAGCCACACUGGAACUGGGACACGGUCCAGACUCCGACGGGAGGCAGCAGUGGGGAAUAUUGCACAAUGGGGGAAACCCUGAUGCAGCCAUGCCGCGUGUGUGAAGAAGGCCUUCGGGUUGUAAAGCACUUUCAGCGAGGAGGAAAGGUUGUUGGCUAAUACCCAGCAACUGUGACGUUACUCGCAGAAGAAACACCGGCUAACUCCGUGCCAGCCGCCGCAGUAA
RNAcentral lists this ribosomal RNA (508 nucleotides) under uncultured bacterium. RNAcentral's name for it is "partial 16S ribosomal RNA". It matches the Rfam family "Bacterial small subunit ribosomal RNA", at positions 29 to 523 of the family's 1533-position model. The record is from RNAcentral.